CAGAAGGACAGGGAAUUGUGUGUGCUUCCUUUUUACCUCUCUCUUUUACUCUCAGCAGACCACUCAAAUGAUGAUGAGCUGCCAAGCUAUAAAUCGUUGAAGAUUCUCUGGCCAGGGAAGCUAUGAAAAAGGAGAGAACUGGUAGGGAGAAAAGAUAGGAGAGCAACACACAUCUUUGCUUCAGGGAUCCAAGGAGGACCACCACAUGAUGAUUUGAAGCUGAACACACCUAUGUCUUGGCUUAUGUCUACACAUCAAGGAAUCAGCUGAGCAGGAAGACUGCCUUGAAGAAACAGAAUCUGCUAUAAGAAUACUAUCAGGAAAGAAUGGUCAAGUCAGGUGAAACCGCUGCUAUUGUAUGACUGCUGAAAUAAUCGUGUACCUGGACUAUCUGCGGCUGCCUUUUCCAGCACCUUCCUGUGGACUGCUCCAGGGC
This 436-nucleotide long non-coding RNA is filed under the name Homo sapiens (human). Its description in RNAcentral is "HSALNT0347332". The record is from RNAcentral. Lineage: Eukaryota; Metazoa; Chordata; Mammalia; Primates; Hominidae.